RNAcentral lists this microRNA precursor (87 nucleotides) under Aotus nancymaae (Ma's night monkey). RNAcentral describes it as "miRNA (ENSANAG00000006990.1)". Lineage: Eukaryota; Metazoa; Chordata; Mammalia; Primates; Aotidae. The record is from RNAcentral.
CUUCUCUGAGCAUCCAGCCUCUAGGAGCUGUGCCCCCCUUCUAGCCUAUUCCUACUGCAUGGAUUGUCUGGAUGCCUCCUUGAGACU